AAGUCGUAACAAGGUUUCCGUAGGUGAACCUGCGGAAGGAUCAUUAUAGUAUAUCUAUAUCUAGGAUGGGGGUGCUCUCGGGCCCCCCCCACCGCCAAAACCUUAGUAAAUUACUAAACUUUAAUCAGUUUAGCCUUGGUGAUGGCUUAACUGCCCUGUGGAUAAAAACUAAAUUCUUUAAUAAACUGCCUGAAUUUAAUGUAAUGUCUGAAUUAAUAUUAAAUAUUAAAA
Molecule: unclassified non-coding RNA, 231 nt
Filed under: plant metagenome
Description: partial contains small subunit ribosomal RNA and internal transcribed spacer 1
Rfam family: Eukaryotic small subunit ribosomal RNA (bases 1-46)
Source: RNAcentral